Molecule: ribosomal RNA, 1499 nt
Filed under: uncultured bacterium
Lineage: Bacteria
Description: 16S ribosomal RNA
Rfam family: Bacterial small subunit ribosomal RNA
Source: RNAcentral
AGGGUUUGAUCAUGGCUCAGAUUGAACGCUGGCGGAAUGCUUUACACAUGCAAGUCGAACGGGUCUUAGGGGCUUGCUCCUAAGUUUAGUGGCGAACGGGUGAGUAACAUAUCGGAACGUAUCCAUUAAUGGGGGAUAACUAAUCGAAAGGUUGGCUAAUACCGCAUGCGCCCUACGGGGGAAAGCAGGGGAUCUUCGGACCUUGCGUUAAUGGAGCGGCCGAUAUCUGAUUAGCUAGUUGGUGGGGUAAAGGCUCACCAAGGCGACGAUCAGUAGCUGGUCUGAGAGGACGACCAGCCACACUGGAACUGAGACACGGUCCAGACUCCUACGGGAGGCAGCAGUGGGGAAUUUUGGACAAUGGGCGAAAGCCUGAUCCAGCCAUUCCGCGUGAGUGAAGAAGGCCUUCGGGUUGUAAAGCUCUUUCGCAAGGGAAGAAAACUUAUAUUCUAAUAAAGUAUGAGGAUGACGGUACCUUGAUAAGAAGCACCGGCUAACUACGUGCCAGCAGCCGCGGUAAUACGUAGGGUGCGAGCGUUAAUCGGAAUUACUGGGCGUAAAGCGUGCGCAGGCGGUUUUGAAAGUCAGAUGUGAAAUCCCCGAGCUCAACUUGGGAACUGCGUUUGAACUCCAAAGCUAGAGUAUAGGAGAGGGGGGUAGAAUUCCACGUGUAGCAGUGAAAUGCGUAGAGAUGUGGAGGAAUACCAAUGGCGAAGGCAGCCCCCUGGCCUAAUACUGACGCUCAUGCACGAAAGCGUGGGGAGCAAACAGGAUUAGAUACCCUGGUAGUCCACGCCCUAAACGAUGUCUACUAGUUGUUGGUGGAGUAAAAUCCAUUAGUAACGCAGCUAACGCGUGAAGUAGACCGCCUGGGGAGUACGGUCGCAAGAUUAAAACUCAAAUGAAUUGACGGGGGCCCGCACAAGCGGUGGAUUAUGUGGAUUAAUUCGAUGCAACGCGAAAAACCUUACCUGGCCUUGACAUGCCACUAACGAAGCAGAGAUGCAUUAGGUGCUCGAAAGAGAAAGUGGACACAGGUGCUGCAUGGCUGUCGUCAGCUCGUGUCGUGAGAUGUUGGGUUAAGUCCCGCAACGAGCGCAACCCUUGUCGUUAAUUGCCAUCAUUGAGUUGGGCACUUUAACGAGACUGCCGGUGACAAACCGGAGGAAGGUGGGGAUGACGUCAAGUCCUCAUGGCCCUUAUGGCCAGGGCCUCACACGUAAUACAAUGGUCGGUACAGAGGGUUGCCAACCCGCGAGGGGGAGCCAAUCCCAGAAAGCCGAUCGUAGUCCGGAUUGCAGUCUGCAACUCGACUGCAUGAAGUCGGAAUCGCUAGUAAUCGCGGAUCAGCAUGUCGCGGUGAAUACGUUCCCGGGCCUUGUACACGCCGCCCGUCACACCAUGGGAGUGGGUUUCACCAGAAGUAGGUAGUCUAACCGCAAGGAGGGCGCUUACCACGGUGGGAUUCAUGACUGGGGUGAAGUCGUAACAAGGUAACC